Molecule: ribosomal RNA, 709 nt
Filed under: Paenibacillus taichungensis
Lineage: Bacteria; Bacillati; Bacillota; Bacilli; Caryophanales; Paenibacillaceae
Description: bacterial SSU rRNA
Rfam family: Bacterial small subunit ribosomal RNA
Source: RNAcentral
GAGAAGCUUGCUUCUCUGAUGGUUAGCGGCGGACGGGUGAGUAACACGUAGGCAACCUGCCCUCAAGCUUGGGACAACUACCGGAAACGGUAGCUAAUACCGAAUAGUUGUUUUCUUCUCCUGAAGAGAACUGGAAAGACGGAGCAAUCUGUCACUUGGGGAUGGGCCUGCGGCGCAUUAGCUAGUUGGUGGGGUAACGGCUCACCAAGGCGACGAUGCGUAGCCGACCUGAGAGGGUGAUCGGCCACACUGGGACUGAGACACGGCCCAGACUCCUACGGGAGGCAGCAGUAGGGAAUCUUCCGCAAUGGGCGAAAGCCUGACGGAGCAAUGCCGCGUGAGUGAUGAAGGUUUUCGGAUCGUAAAGCUCUGUUGCCAGGGAAGAACGCUUGGGAGAGUAACUGCUCUCAAGGUGACGGUACCUGAGAAGAAAGCCCCGGCUAACUACGUGCCAGCAGCCGCGGUAAUACGUAGGGGGCAAGCGUUGUCCGGAAUUAUUGGGCGUAAAGCGCGCGCAGGCGGUCAUUUAAGUCUGGUGUUUAAUCCCGGGGCUCAACCCCGGAUCGCACUGGAAACUGGGUGACUUGAGUGCAGAAGAGGAGAGUGGAAUUCCACGUGUAGCGGUGAAAUGCGUAGAUAUGUGGAGGAACACCAGUGGCGAAGGCGACUCUCUGGGCUGUAACUGACGCUGAGGCGCGAAAGCGUGGGG